GCGGGGGUAGUUUAAUGGUAGAACAUCAGCUUCCCAAGCUGAGAGCGCGAGUUCGAUUCUCGUCACCCGCU
Molecule: transfer RNA, 71 nt
Filed under: Streptomyces regalis
Lineage: Bacteria; Bacillati; Actinomycetota; Actinomycetes; Kitasatosporales; Streptomycetaceae
Rfam family: tRNA
About the family: Transfer RNA (tRNA) molecules are approximately 80 nucleotides in length.
Source: Rfam by way of RNAcentral